ACUAUGUUUCCCUGGCCGCAUAACUCAUUUGUACAAAUUAACCGCAUAAAUAAAUGUAACUUCCACAACUUUCUUAAAACUAAUAUGUUAUUAAAAAAACACCCGGUACAUGUUUAGUGUUUUUCUGAGCGCGACCCAACAAAAUUAAAACAUAAUAUAUUCUUCUCUUACAUUUUGACGCUGUGCGCCUUUGGUUCCAGGAUUCUCAGCAAUCAUCAUAACAGGAGCUAAAGUGGCGACGACAUGCAGCCCGAGGAAGCGUUGCGACAGGCCGGCGACUUCGGCCUGUUCCAGUACCUGCUCAUCACCUACCUCUGCGUUCUCGUUGCCCCCGUGCGCGUGAUGCCCCUCUUCGCGCACAUCUUCAGUUUCCUGGUGCCCCCUCACCGCUGCAAGGUUCCCCUGCACCUGUACGAGGGCCUCAACGUCUCUGGGGAGGCCAUCCUUGGCGUGGCCCUUCCCCGAGAAUCGGACGGAAGCUUGAGCCAGUGCAGGAUGUACGACGUGAACGCCACGCUGCUCCGCCAUGGCUUCAGGCUGGCACUGGUGCAUCAGUGAACUUUUCGACGACUGCGCCGUCCGUUGACCUCGAAACCACGUCGUGUCAGUUCGGCUGGGAGUACGACUUCUCGCUCAUCUAUCCAAGCGUCGUCUCUGAGAUGGACUGGGUCUGCGAGAACAGUUGGAAAACUACGUGGCCAACACCGUUUUCUGGGUGUCCACGGCAGUAGGAGUGCUCAUCUGUGGGAAUCUAAGCGACAGGUACGGCCGGGUCUUGGUGAUCGUCGGCGUGAACCUCCUGUGCGGUGGCGCUGGACUGUACACCUUCUUCACUGAGGGCUUCCUCCAUUUCGUCCUAAGCCGAGUGUUCUUGGGUCUCGUGAUGCUCGCUCUCAGCAUCACGCCCUUCGUGUUGGUGGUGGAGUAUGUGGCUCCGGAGCGGCGAAUGAUGGUGCUGAGCGGUUUCCAGUUCUCGUACCCCCUCGUUGGAGCUGCGUUCCCCUGGCUGGCCUACUACAUCGGCGACUGGAGGACGCUCGUCUCAGCGCUUCCCCCGCUGGCAGCACCCUUUUUCUGCCUAUUUGUGCCUGAGUCCCUCCGGUGGCUGGUAUCUCGUGGCAAGGAAGCGCGAGCCAAGAAAAUCCUCCGUUUCAUCGCCAAGGUGAACGGGAAGGUGCUCUCGGACGAGUUCAUGGGAAAAUGUCGAUUCCCUGCUCCAAAUGAAUCUCAGAAACCCAAAGAUUCUCCAACGGACAUGCUGAAGACACCCAACCUCCGAAAAAAUUUCAUUCUGACUCUUGCUGCUUGGAUGCUGGCGUGCCUAGUGUACAUGGCGGGACAACUGUAUGCUGCCAAUGCCAGUCACAACCCGUUCCUGAUGACAACUGCCGUCAACGCGGUGGACAUUGUGGCUACAGCCACCGCACUGCCGCUUGCCGACCGCUGGGGAAGGAGGCCCACUAUGAUGACCACUUACUCGCUUGCGGCGUUUGCGUACCUCUUCGCUGUCUCGGUGCCUGCAGGUGCAACCACUGUCGAGACCCUGGUAUUUAUGCUUGCCCGAAUGGCCCUGACAAUGGCUUACAAUGUGGGCUACCUGCACGCUGCCGAGGUUUACCCGACGGCUGUACGGUCUCAAGCUUUAUCCGUGCGACAGGCCUUCGGGUCUGUCGGAAAAUUCCUCAGCUCACAGGUGACACAGCUGGCAAUCUACGGCAGACCAAUCCCUCUGGUCCUGAUGGGAGCAAUGUCCUUUCUGCUGGCCCUGCUCACGUUCCCGCUGCCAGAGACGCUGCACCACGAACUGCCCGAGACACUGAAGGAGGGCGAGGAAUACAACCAUGCACAGAACACGUGCUGCCUUUCACAUGCACCACAGCUACCGCCGCCCGGUCACGGAAGAACUCGCACUUUAUCUGUCAUAUAGAAAGGAUCGCAGAGAAGUGCGUAGAAGCCCACUAUCCAGACACUGUUCAUCUUGCGGAGGAAGCUACCGAUGCCCCGAGAGGGAUUAACCACACAGGUGCUUGUACACCAGUGGUGA
Molecule: RNA transcript, 2044 nt
Organism: Ixodes scapularis (black-legged tick)
Lineage: Eukaryota; Metazoa; Arthropoda; Arachnida; Ixodida; Ixodidae
Gene name: solute carrier family 22 member 21
Exons: 10
Source: RefSeq, a predicted model, not a curated record